RNAcentral lists this ribosomal RNA (253 nucleotides) under uncultured bacterium. RNAcentral describes it as "partial 16S ribosomal RNA". It matches the Rfam family "Bacterial small subunit ribosomal RNA", at positions 524 to 776 of the family's 1533-position model. The record is from RNAcentral.
UACAGAGGUCCCGAGCGUUGUUCGGAUUCACUGGGCGUAAAGCGUGUGUAGGCGGGUUGCUAAGUACCUUGUGAAAUCCCACGGCUCAACCGUGGAACUGCUUGGUAUACUGGGUAUCUUGAGCCACUUAGGGGCAACCGGAACAAACGGUGGAGCGGUGAAAUGCGUAGAUAUCGUUUGGAACGCCAAUGGUGAAAACAGGUUGCUGGGAGUGUGCUGACGCUGAGACACGAAAGCCAGGGGAGCAAACGGG